CCUAGGGGUGCUCCAGUGGGGAAUAUUGCGCAAUGGGGGAAACCUUGACGCAGCGACGCCGCGUGGAGGAUGAAGGUUUUCGAAUUGUAAACUCCUUUUAGAGGAGAAGAAAACUAUCUUACUAAAUAAUAAGAUAGCUUGACAGUAUCCUCAGAAAAAGCCCCGGCUAACUCCGUGCCAGCAGCCGCGGUAAUACGGAGGGGGCAAGCGUUGUUCGGAAUUACUGGGUGUAAAGGGCGCGCAGGCGGUAAAAUGAGUCAGACGUGAAAUCCCUCAGCUCAACUGAGGAAUUGCGUUUGAAACUGUAUUGCUUGAGUACAGUAAAGGAGAGUGGAAUUCCCAGUGUAGCGGUGAAAUGCGUAGAUAUUGGGAGGAACACCGGUGGCGAAGGCGGCUCUCUGGACUGUUACUGACGCUGAGGCGCGAAAGCAUGGGGAGCAAACGGGAUUAGAUACCCUUGUAGUC
This 465-nucleotide ribosomal RNA is filed under the name uncultured bacterium. Its description in RNAcentral is "partial 16S ribosomal RNA". It matches the Rfam family "Bacterial small subunit ribosomal RNA", at positions 338 to 795 of the family's 1533-position model. The record is from RNAcentral.